RNAcentral lists this ribosomal RNA (250 nucleotides) under uncultured bacterium. RNAcentral's name for it is "partial 16S ribosomal RNA". It matches the Rfam family "Bacterial small subunit ribosomal RNA", at positions 524 to 773 of the family's 1533-position model. The record is from RNAcentral.
UACGGAGGGUGCAAGCGUUAAUCGGAUUUACUGGGCGUAAAGCGCACGUAGGCGGCUUGUUAAGUCGGAUGUGAAAUCCCCGGGCUCAACCUGGGAGCGGCAUUCGAUACUGGCAAGCUGGAGUACGAGAGAGGGGGGUGGAAUUCCAGGUGUAGCGGUGAAAUGCGUAGAUAUCUGGAGGAACACCGGUGGCGAAGGCGGCCCCCUGGCUCGAUACUGACGCUGAGGUGCGAAAGCGUGGGGAUCAAAC